UGAGGAAUAUUGCUUAAUGGGCGAAAGCCUGAAGCAGCAACGCCGCGUGAACGAAGGAGGCCUUCGGGUCGUAAAGUUCUUUUACGUGGGAUGAGGAAGGACAGUACCACGAGAAUAAGUCUCGGCUAACUACGUGCCAGCAGCCGCGGUAAAACGUAGGAGACGAGCGUUAUCCGGAUUUACUGGGCGUAAAGAGCGUGUAGGAGGCGCUACAAGUUGGAUGUAAAAGCUCCCGGCUUAACUGGAGAGGUCGUUCAAGACUGUAGAGCUAGAGUAAGGCAGAAGUAGAUGGAACUCCGGGAGUAGUGGUGAAAUGCGUAGAUAUCCGGAAGAACACCAGAGGCGAAAGCGAUCUACUGGACCUUAACUGACACUGAGACGCGAAAGCCAGGGUAGCAAACG
This 402-nucleotide ribosomal RNA is filed under the name uncultured prokaryote. Its description in RNAcentral is "bacterial SSU rRNA". It matches the Rfam family "Bacterial small subunit ribosomal RNA", at positions 355 to 774 of the family's 1533-position model. The record is from RNAcentral.